Molecule: ribosomal RNA, 250 nt
Filed under: uncultured bacterium
Lineage: Bacteria
Description: partial 16S ribosomal RNA
Rfam family: Bacterial small subunit ribosomal RNA
Source: RNAcentral
UGGUGAGUAACGCGUGAGGAACCUGCCUUUCGGAGGGGGACAACAGUUGGAAACGACUGCUAAUACCGCAUGACGCAUUUGGAUCGCAUGGUCUGAAUGUCAAAGAUUUAUCGCCGAAAGAUGGCCUCGCGUCUGAUUAGCUUGUUGGUGAGGUAACGGCCCACCAAGGCGACGAUCAGUAGCCGGACUGAGAGGUUGGCCGGCCACAUUGGGACUGAGAUACGGCCCAGACUCCUACGGGAGGCAGCAG